ACCCUUCCUGAAGAGCUGUUGGUUUAAUGGUGGCUAUAAGAGGAGCUGUCAUUUUCCUGGUGUCAUAGCCAUGGGUGGCAGCUAGUGGGGUAAAAGAGACCAAAGAGAAAAGAAUGGCAGAUGGAAAGAGUCACUUUUAACUGGGAAAGCUUCCAAGUACCCCUAGUUCAGACCACGGCUGACUCCUGCUGGCAAAACAAUUCGCCAUUUUAACACAUUUAUGGACCAAUAAUGUUAUAAUAAGGUGUUACAUUAAAUAAUGUUCAUCCGAAUUUA
RNAcentral lists this long non-coding RNA (276 nucleotides) under Rattus norvegicus (Norway rat). RNAcentral describes it as "long non-coding RNA NONRATT026783". The record is from RNAcentral. Lineage: Eukaryota; Metazoa; Chordata; Mammalia; Rodentia; Muridae.